AUUGAACGCUGGCGGCAGGCCUAACACAUGCAAGUCGAACGGUAACAGGAAGCAGCUUGCUGCUUCGCUGACGAGUGGCGGACGGGUGAGUAAUGUCUGGGAAGCUGCCUGAUGGAGGGGGAUAACUACUGGAAACGGUAGCUAAUACCGCAUAAUGUCGCAAGACCAAAGAGGGGGACCUUCGGGCCUCUUGCCAUCGGAUGUGCCCAGAUGGGAUGAGCUUGUUGGUGGGGUAACGGCUCACCAAGGCGACGAUCCCUAGCUGGUCUGAGAGGAUGACCAGCCACACUGGGACUGAGACACGGUCCAGACUCCUACGGGAGGCAGCAGUGGGGAAUAUUGCACAAUGGGCGCAAGCCUGAUGCAGCCAUGCCGCGUGUAUGAAGAAGGCCUUCGGGUUGUAAAGUACUUUCAGCGGGGAGGAAGGGAGUAAAGUUAAUACCUUUGCUCAUUGACGUUACCCGCAGAAGAAGCACCGGCUAACUCCGUG
RNAcentral lists this ribosomal RNA (490 nucleotides) under uncultured bacterium. RNAcentral's name for it is "partial 16S ribosomal RNA". It matches the Rfam family "Bacterial small subunit ribosomal RNA", at positions 30 to 507 of the family's 1533-position model. The record is from RNAcentral.